UGGGGAAUUUUGGACAAUGGGCGAAAGCCUGAUCCAGCCAUGCCGCGUGAGUGAAGAAGGCCUUCGGGUUGUAAAGCUCUUUUAGUCGGAAAGAAAGAGUUGCAAUGAAUAAUUGUGAUUUAUGACGGUACCGACAGAAAAAGCACCGGCUAACUACGUGCCAGCAGCCGCGGUAAUACGUAGGGUGCGAGCGUUAAUCGGAAUUACUGGGCGUAAAGGGUGCGCAGGCGGUCUUGCAAGUCAGAUGUGAAAGCCCCGGGCUUAACCUGGGAAUUGCGUUUGAAACUACAAGACUAGAGUGCAGCAGAGGGGAGUGGAAGUCCAUGUGUAGCAGUGAAAUGCGUAGAGAUGUGGAAGAACACCGAUGGCGAAGGCAGCUCCCUGGGUUGACACUGACGCUCAUGCACGAAAGCGUGGGGAGCAAACA
RNAcentral lists this ribosomal RNA (427 nucleotides) under uncultured bacterium. RNAcentral's name for it is "bacterial SSU rRNA". It matches the Rfam family "Bacterial small subunit ribosomal RNA", at positions 355 to 774 of the family's 1533-position model. The record is from RNAcentral.